Molecule: non-coding RNA, 83 nt
Organism: Mycena albidolilacea
Lineage: Eukaryota; Fungi; Basidiomycota; Agaricomycetes; Agaricales; Mycenaceae
Source: the annotation of a GenBank genome assembly
GGCCGUCUAGCUCAGUUGGUUAGCGUGGUGCUAAUAACACGAGGCAUCAGCUCAGGUUUUGGGUUCGACCCCCGUGAUGGCCA